UCUCACUGUGGUAGAAUGUGUUAAAAGUGGAAUGAGGCAGAGAUGACUGGAAUGGCCUCUGUGCAAAGGUGAUAUGAAACUGUCGAAGUGCCCCAUCUUUUU
Molecule: small nuclear RNA, 102 nt
Organism: Dipodomys ordii (Ord's kangaroo rat)
Lineage: Eukaryota; Metazoa; Chordata; Mammalia; Rodentia; Heteromyidae
Source: Ensembl